RNAcentral lists this long non-coding RNA (519 nucleotides) under Cricetulus griseus (Chinese hamster). RNAcentral describes it as "lncRNA (ENSCGRG00015037922.1)". The record is from RNAcentral. Lineage: Eukaryota; Metazoa; Chordata; Mammalia; Rodentia; Cricetidae.
ACCAAAUGGGCUUGUUGACUGCUUACAUACCCUCAUAGAAGGGUGGAGAGAACAAGAUUCGCAUCUAAGUACAUGGCUGUUCCUCUACCACUUGUUGGAUGCAACUCUGCCAUAAUUACACAUGGCUUCAGGAAGAAGCUAAACCAGAAGUGGAAACAAGAUGAAUAAACCACCACAGAAAAAAUGAAACUGCUACAUGUGAUUUGACAAAAAACAGUGGAUAUAUUUCAUAAUUCAUCAGACAGUGUACACACAGCCAGUAGAUUUCUGACCCAAGAUCAAUAUGUAGGACUCUCAGCUCUUUCUCCAGCACUAUGUCUGCCUCGUGCUGCCAGGUCCUGCCAUGAGGAUAAUGGAAAAAACCUCUGAAACUGUGUUACAUCUGAGAAGUGGUGAAAAAUGAGAUCUGAAGGAGGUGAAACAGCCAGGAUGCACUUCAGUUGGGUGAAAUGGAAGUAACUAGGACAGUUUUUUUCUGGAGGAUGGGCUGGGUGAAGUGUAAAGUGUAAACAAUUGUUG